GAUGAACGCUGGCGGCGUGCCUAAUACAUGCAAGUCGAGCGAACGGACGAGAAGCUUGCUUCUCUGAUGUUAGCGGCGGACGGGUGAGUGACACGUGGAUAACCUACCUAUAAGACUGGGAUAACUUCGGGAAACCGGAGCUAAUACCGGAUAAUAUUUUGAACCGCAUGGUUCAAAAGUGAAAGACGGUCUUGCUGUCACUUAUAGAUGGAUCCGCGCUGCAUUAGCUAGUUGGUAAGGUAACGGCUUACCAAGGCAACGAUGCAUAGCCGACCUGAGAGGGUGAUCGGCCACACUGGAACUGAGACACGGUCCAGACUCCUACGGGAGGCAGCAGUAAGGAAUCUUCCGCAAUGGGCGAAAGCCUGACGGAGCAACGCCGCGUGAGUGAUGAAGGUCUUCGGAUCGUAAAACUCUGUUAUUAGGGAAGAACAUAUGUGUAAGUAACUGUGCACAUCUUGACGGUACCUAAUCAGAAAGCCACGGCUAACUACGUG
Molecule: ribosomal RNA, 497 nt
Filed under: uncultured bacterium
Lineage: Bacteria
Description: partial 16S ribosomal RNA
Rfam family: Bacterial small subunit ribosomal RNA
Source: RNAcentral